UUUGACUGGGGCGGUCUCCUCCUAAAGAGUAACGGAGGAGCACGAAGGUUGGCUAAUCCUGGUCGGACAUCAGGAGGUUAGUGCAAUGGCAUAAGCCAGCUUGACUGCGAGCGUGACGGCGCGAGCAGGUGCGAAAGCAGGUCAUAGUGAUCCGGUGGUUCUGAAUGGAAGGGCCAUCGCUCAACGGAUAAAAGGUACUCCGGGGAUAACAGGCUGAUACCGCCCAAGAGUUCAUAUCGACGGCGGUGUUUGGCACCUCGAUGUCGGCUCAUCACAUCCUGGGGCUGAAGUAGGUCCCAAGGGUAUGGCUGUUCGCCAUUUAAAGUGGUACGCGAGCUGGGUUUAGAACGUCGUGAGACAGUUCGGUCCCUAUCUGCCGUGGG
RNAcentral lists this ribosomal RNA (383 nucleotides) under Escherichia coli. Its description in RNAcentral is "partial 23S ribosomal RNA". It matches the Rfam family "Bacterial large subunit ribosomal RNA", at positions 2269 to 2651 of the family's 2925-position model. Lineage: Bacteria; Pseudomonadati; Pseudomonadota; Gammaproteobacteria; Enterobacterales; Enterobacteriaceae. The record is from RNAcentral.